This 1617-nucleotide long non-coding RNA is filed under the name Homo sapiens (human). Its description in RNAcentral is "PREDICTED lncRNA (TCONS_00141635)". Lineage: Eukaryota; Metazoa; Chordata; Mammalia; Primates; Hominidae. The record is from RNAcentral.
CUCCCAUUUCCGGAAGCCUGGCGCAAGGUUGGUCUGCAGGUGGCCUCCAGGUGCAAAGUGGGAAGUGUGAGUCCUCAGUCUUGGGCUAUUCGGCCACGUGCCUGCCGGACAUGGGACGCUGGAGGGUCAGCAGCGUGGAGUCCUGGCCUUUUGCGUCCACGGGUGGGAAAUUGGCCAUUGCCACGGCGGGAACUGGGACUCAGGCUGCCCCCCGGCCGUUUCUCAUCCGUCCACCGGACUCGUGGGCGCUCGCACUGGCGCUGAUGUAGUUUCCUGACCUCUGACCCGUAUUGUCUCCAGAUUAAAGGUACGACAUUUGGAGGCCCCAGCGAGAAACGUCACCGGGAGAAACGUCACCGGGCGAGAGCCGGGCCCGCUGUGUGCUCCCCCGGAAGGACAGCCAGCUUGUAGGGGGGAGUGCCACCUGAAAAAAAAAUUUCCAGGUCCCCAAAGGGUGACCGUCUUCCGGAGGACAGCGGAUCGACUACCAUGUGGGUGCCCACAAAAAUUCCACCUCUGAGUCCUCAACUGCUGACCCCGGGGUCAGUUCCAGAGAGAAGGACUCCCUCCUGCUUGGAAGAGACCUCACACCGUCAUCACGAUGCCAACGGCUCUGAAGGUGGAUGGCAUUCCUGCGUGGAUUCAUCACUCCCGCAUCAAAAAGGCCAACGGAGCCCAACUAGAAACAUGGGUCCCCAGGGCUGGGUCAGGCCCCUUAAAACUGCACCUAAGUUGGGUGAAGCCAUUAGAUUAAUUCUUUUUCUUAAUUUUGUAAAACAAUGCAUAGCUUCUGUCAAACUUAUGUAUCUUAAGACUCAAUAUAACCCCCUUGUUAUAACUGAGGAAUCAAUGAUUUGAUUCCCCAAAAACACAAGUGGGGAAUGUAGUGUCCAACCUGGUUUUUACUAACCCUGUUUUUAGACUCUCCCUUUCCUUUAAUCACUCAGCCUUGUUUCCACCUGAAUUGACUCUCCCUUAGCUAAGAGCGCCAGAUGGACUCCAUCUUGGCUCUUUCACUGGCAGCCGCUUCCUCAAGGACUUAACUUGUGCAAGCUGACUCCCAGCACAUCCAAGAAUGCAAUUAACUGAUAAGAUACUGUGGCAAGCUAUAUCCGCAGUUCCCAGGAAUUCGUCCAAUUGAUUACACCCAAAAGCCCCGCGUCUAUCACCUUGUAAUAAUCUUAAAGCCCCUGCACCUGGAACUAUUAACGUUCCUGUAACCAUUUAUCCUUUUAACUUUUUUGCCUACUUUAUUUCUGUAAAAUUGUUUUAACUAGACCCCCCCUCUCCUUUCUAAACCAAAGUAUAAAAGCAAAUCUAGCCCCUUCUUCAGGCCGAGAGAAUUUCGAGCGUUAGCCGUCUCUUGGCCACCAGCUAAAUAAACGGAUUCUUCAUGUGUCUCAAAGUGUGGCGUUUUCUCUAACUCGCUCAGGUACGACCGUGGUAGUAUUUUCCCCAACGUCUUAUUUUUAGGGCACGUAUGUAGAGUAACUUUUAUGAAAGAAACCAGUUAAGGAGGUUUUGGGAUUUCCUUUAUCAACUGUAAUACUGGUUUUGAUUAUUUAUUUAUUUAUUUAUUUUUUUUUUUUGAGAAGGAGUUUCACUCUUGUUGCCCAG